This 70-nucleotide non-coding RNA is filed under the name unclassified sequences. The record is from RNAcentral.
CUCUGGCAUGUAUAAAGCCUUUACGUGGCGCCAGGGAUAAGUAAGCUUUUUAAGCUGAAACUAAUUUGUA